This 603-nucleotide ribosomal RNA is filed under the name Pseudomonas aeruginosa. RNAcentral's name for it is "bacterial SSU rRNA". It matches the Rfam family "Bacterial small subunit ribosomal RNA", at positions 56 to 656 of the family's 1533-position model. Lineage: Bacteria; Pseudomonadati; Pseudomonadota; Gammaproteobacteria; Pseudomonadales; Pseudomonadaceae. The record is from RNAcentral.
UGCAGUCGAGCGGAUGAGGGAGCUUGCUCCUGGAUUCAGCGGCGGACGGGUGAGUAAUGCCUAGGAAUCUGCCUGGUAGUGGGGGAUAACGUCCGGAAACGGGCGCUAAUACCGCAUACGUCCUGAGGGAGAAAGUGGGGGAUCUUCGGACCUCACGCUAUCAGAUGAGCCUAGGUCGGAUUAGCUAGUUGGUGGGGUAAAGGCCUACCAAGGCGACGAUCCGUAACUGGUCUGAGAGGAUGAUCAGUCACACUGGAACUGAGACACGGUCCAGACUCCUACGGGAGGCAGCAGUGGGGAAUAUUGGACAAUGGGCGAAAGCCUGAUCCAGCCAUGCCGCGUGUGUGAAGAAGGUCUUCGGAUUGUAAAGCACUUUAAGUUGGGAGGAAGGGCAGUAAGUUAAUACCUUGCUGUUUUGACGUUACCAACAGAAUAAGCACCGGCUAACUUCGUGCCAGCAGCCGCGGUAAUACGAAGGGUGCAAGCGUUAAUCGGAAUUACUGGGCGUAAAGCGCGCGUAGGUGGUUCAGCAAGUUGGAUGUGAAAUCCCCGGGCUCAACCUGGGAACUGCAUCCAAAACUACUGAGCUAGAGUACGGUAGAG